RNAcentral lists this small RNA (469 nucleotides) under Pongo abelii (Sumatran orangutan). Its description in RNAcentral is "retained intron". Lineage: Eukaryota; Metazoa; Chordata; Mammalia; Primates; Hominidae. The record is from RNAcentral.
CCCCAAUUUGGACAUCCAGUGGUUCCAGGAUUGUCAUCCAUUCUCCAUUAGAUUGCUUUGGCAUCACUGUGGACAUUUUUGAUAGUUUAAAGGACAGGGUUUUCUUAGUCAAGUAUGGAGAGAGAACAGUUACUCCUUCCUGGUCUCCUAAUCUCUUUACUUGUAUUCUGGAUGCUCCUAAAUCCUGACUCAGUAAGCCCAUGGAAUUUUCUGUGGUUGGCAAUAAGUUGUAGUGAUUGGAUUAUCUGUUCUGUCUGGACAUAGGAUGACCAGUGUCCCAGUGAAGGAACGGGUGAAGGUGUCUCAGAACUGGAGACUGGGGCGCUGCCGAGAGGGGAUUCUGCUGAAGUGGAGAUGCAGUCAGAUGCCCUGGAUGCAGCUAGAGGAUGAUUCUCUGUACAUAUCCCAAGCUAAUUUCAUCCUGGCCUACCAGUUCCGUCCAGAUGGUGCCAGCUUGAACCGUCGGCCU